GGUGAAAAGUUGAUUAGAAACUUGGAAAAGUGAGUUUUUAUGAAAGGGUAGAAAUAUGAAAAGAAACAAGAAAAAGAAAUCACCCUUGAAACCAUAGAGCAAAGAAAAAAGAAUAGAAAAAAAAGCAAAGAAAGUGCUCAUGGUUGUGCGGAUUUGAAAAGAAAAAAAAAGAAAAAGAAAAAGAUAGGGAUCAAAGAAAGGGAAAUUG
RNAcentral lists this long non-coding RNA (208 nucleotides) under Lathyrus oleraceus (garden pea). RNAcentral describes it as "Pisum sativum (pea) long non-coding RNA (PSAT_LNC021516)". Lineage: Eukaryota; Viridiplantae; Streptophyta; Magnoliopsida; Fabales; Fabaceae. The record is from RNAcentral.